Molecule: ribosomal RNA, 222 nt
Filed under: uncultured bacterium
Lineage: Bacteria
Description: partial 16S ribosomal RNA
Rfam family: Bacterial small subunit ribosomal RNA
Source: RNAcentral
CAAAGAACCUGCCUCAUAGACUGGGACAACUAUUGGAAACGAUAGCUAAUACCGGAUGACAGCAUUAACUGCAUGGUUGAUGUUUAAAAGUUGGUUUUGCUAACACUAUGAGAUGGCUUUGCGGUGCAUUAGCUAGUUGGUGGGGUAAAGGCCUACCAAGGCGACGAUGCAUAGCCGACCUGAGAGGGUGAUCGGCCACACUGGGACUGAGACACGGCCCAG